GAUGAAGAACGUAGCGAAAUGCGAUAAGUAAUGCGAAUUGCAGAAUUCCAGUGAGUCAUCGAAUCUUUGAACGCACCUUGCGCCCCUUGGUUAUUCCAAAGGGCAUGCCUGUUUGAGUAUCAUGAACACCUCAACUCUUGUGGUUUCCCACAAUGAGCUUGGACUGUGGAGGUUUUGUUGGCCCUGUGGUCAGCUCCUCUCAAAUGGAUCAGCUUACCGGUGUUUGGUGGCAUUACGGGUGUGAUAACUAUCUACGCUCGUGGUCGUCUCCAAAUAACCUCCAGUGAUGGAGGUUCGCUGGAGCUUAUAAAUGUCUCUCCCCAGUGAAGACAGCCUUUGAACGUUCGAUCUCAAAUCAGGUAGGACUACCCGCUGAACUUAAGCAUAUCAAUAAGCGGAGGA
RNAcentral lists this unclassified non-coding RNA (402 nucleotides) under soil metagenome. RNAcentral describes it as "partial contains 5.8S ribosomal RNA, internal transcribed spacer 2, and large subunit ribosomal RNA". The stretch from base 1 to 122 matches the Rfam family "5.8S ribosomal RNA", at positions 35 to 154 of the family's 154-position model. The record is from RNAcentral.